GAAUGAAAUGAUGAGCUUUUUUUAUUUGCUUUGAUUGCCGUGAUGAUGGCAACAUUAGUAUUAGCUCUAGCUGAUCAUUC
This is a non-coding RNA of Cucumis sativus (cucumber), 80 nucleotides long. The record is from Rfam. Lineage: Eukaryota; Viridiplantae; Streptophyta; Magnoliopsida; Cucurbitales; Cucurbitaceae.